This 116-nucleotide small RNA is filed under the name Arabidopsis thaliana (thale cress). RNAcentral describes it as "ATSL045040". The record is from RNAcentral. Lineage: Eukaryota; Viridiplantae; Streptophyta; Magnoliopsida; Brassicales; Brassicaceae.
UUUUUUUCUUGCUUUUGGCAAAUGCGACCAGUCAGGAAAUGCUAGUCAAAAGAUACUGAUAUCAAAAAUAUCAAUGGGCUGAUACUGAUUAAGCUCAUUGUAAUUGUUUUGUCAAU